CAUUGGUAAGCGUAACGGACCCCGAACACAUCUGGUAGGCCGAACACAUAUGGUACCUACACCGGACUUGCAUCGGAGCAUCGGAGCCGGAGGAGUAAUGAGGUAUCUAGAGAUAUCUACAAUGAGUCCCACCAUGGAGUUCACUACGCAGAACACCAAGUGCCCAAGGAACUCGAGGAGAACCAAGUUAAAAGAUGGUUGACUAAAGAAUCUGAGAAACAAUUAGAUUGAAAUGACCCUCGCUGCUGUUUCAGGAUCACACUGCCUAAAGGUGGAUGCUCUGAAAGAUCAUUUGACCCCCUACCUGAGUCCUACCUGAGGGGGGGGGGGAGUCUGCAGCCAGGAGCACAUGGUUUCUCAAGAUGUUGGAGACUCUCUCUUAGCUCGUCCACACACUGAUGGAAGGAGUUGCUGGGACAUAUCCACAUCUCAACCACAAACCUGGAUGCUGACUCCAAGGCUGGAGUUAUAAUGAGGAUCUACAACGAGUCCCAGCGCGGAGUUCACUACGCAGAAAACCAAGUGCCCAAGGAACUCGAGGAGAACCAAGUUAAAAGAUGGUUGAACAAAGGUCACACUGCCUAAAGGUGGAUGCUCUGAAAGAUCAUUUGACCCCCUACCUGAGGGGGGGGGGGGGGGAGUCUGCAGCCAUGAGCACAUGGUUUCUCAAGAUGUUGGAGACUCUCUCUUAGCUCGUCCACACACUGAUGGAAGGAGUUGCUGGGACAUAUCCACAUCUCAACCACAAACCUGGAUGCUGACUCCAAGGCUGGAGUUAUAAUGAGGGUGUGACUGAAGGACCUGGAUCUGGAGGACGUGCAGACGCAUGAAAAGCCGGGUGGAACAGUUCUACUGGGCUCUGCAGGGGCAUGGAGUCACUUGGGAGUGAAACUCGGACUCUCCUGUCCUCCGUCUUGUUGUACAAGGCUAUUCAUCUAAACCAGGGGUCUCCAACACGUCGAUCGUGAGCUACCGGUAGCUCGCAAGCCAGCCGCGGCGUUAUGGGUGGGCCUACUGGGCCCAGGCCCACCCACUCUGUCACUGGGCCCACCCAUUCAUUGAUCAAAAAUGACUGGGCGAAAAUAUAGCUUCCGACAUUUUUAUUUUUGAUUAUCAAAACUAACAAUUACAUAAUAAAAUAAGAGCAAACAUGUGUAUCCCUUUAAAAAAACUAGUAAAAGUAACAUGAAUUAACGUAAAAUGGACCGAACUCAUAGUGGAAGCGCGAGCAAACACAUCUUAGAACGUCUCGCGGACGCGUGCAGAUGGUGGACAGUGGACUACUCACACACACAAAAAAUAUACCACACUCACUAACGAUGUCACAACAAUCGAUGUUCAGGUUUUUAAAAAGAGUAAGAACAGAGUCGCCGCCGCCAGAACCACCACACUCAUCAUCCUCACAGCAGGUGCCGCCUAAGAGAGACGAGAGUGUGUUUAAUGUUGUGUCCCCGCUGAGCUCAGUCCCUCUGCGGGACGUAGCAUCUGUUGGAAGGACUACAGAAAAUAGCAUCCCAGUGCCGGACCCAUCAGCCAUAGAUGACCCGGCGGCUACACAGCCAAAGCUCAUAAAGUACCCUCAGACACUUUUCGGACAAAGGAAAAGGAGCUUCGCUGCCCACUGGUAUGACAAGUACACAUUAUUGGAAUAUAGCAUUAGCAAGGACAGUGUGUUUUGUAAAAUGUGCCGGCAUUUUAGUGAGAGAGGCGUGGCCGGCGGAGAAGAUACAUUCAGUCGCCAUGGUUACAGGGACUGGAAACAUAUCGACUAUGCUCUCAGUAAACACGAAUGCAGAGCAGCUCAUGCAAUAGCUAUGGAGAGAAAUACAAACUACAGACAGUGCGAGAAGUCUGACCAUGGAACCAUCCUCCAUCAGCUACUCAAUCCAGAGGGCCGACAGGGAGAGAUCAUUGAGAAAAAUCGGGAACACAUAGAGUUUUACCGGACAUAAUUCUCAUGUGUGCAAAGCAAGAGAUUCCUCAUUUCAUAUUGAGACUAAAUAUCUAGGGAAAUGAUUAAGAAACGUAGAGCUAAAAUGUCGUGCCAUUUGCAACUACCGGAGCGCACCCUGACGCGGCAGGCAUUCUCCAGCCCACAUCAGCAAAGCUUAUGAGUGUGAAGCAACAGUAUCUGCUGCCCAGCUGCUUUAGUAUGAAACGUACGUUCAGCUUAUGAAAGCUCUGCAGUAUCAGAAGGAAGUAGCCUAAUGAUAAAUCUGCAGCCUCUGAAAAGUGCCGCGUCAGAGAACCAGUGCCUUUUACGCACGGCCGCUCACUUCGCUAGAUCCGCUAAAAAGUACAUCAGCCUGCAGUCUAACCACACAGACACACAUCAGGUGCUCGCUCAUUAUUCCAUAGUCUGCCGUUGUAUGCUCUUUGUUUCUAAACGUAUCAAUGUAUUGUGAACCAAAACAAAAUAACAUGCAGUAGUUAAACAUUUAAUUUCACUCAUUGCGGCGUGCCGCUUAAUCAUUUAAAUAAUAUUUAAGCUUCUUAUAAGUGAAAAUGUUGAAAAGAGAAGGGUUUAGAAAAAGUGUCUUUACUAUAGGGAUUAUGCAUUACACAGUUGCCUACAAUGAUAUGCAGGCAUUUAUUUUUAUCUUAUUUUUGUUAACGAGAAACAUCUAUUGGAACAGGCCCAGACGAAAUUAGAUUGGCCCACCCACAAUUGAAAUCCUGGCGCCACGGCUGUCGCAAGCCCUCAAUAAGUAGCUCGCCAAGCAAAUCCAAAAUGUAAAAAAUACACCAAAAAUAAAGGAAAUGUAAUUAAAAGAAUCUACCCUAUGCAUAAACGAAACCUAAAUCAUAGCGAACUCUAUCUACUUACUACAACUCUAUAUCUAUCUAACACCCCU
Molecule: long non-coding RNA, 2855 nt
Organism: Trematomus bernacchii (emerald rockcod)
Lineage: Eukaryota; Metazoa; Chordata; Actinopteri; Perciformes; Nototheniidae
Exons: 10
Source: RefSeq, a predicted model, not a curated record